This 480-nucleotide ribosomal RNA is filed under the name uncultured bacterium. Its description in RNAcentral is "bacterial SSU rRNA". It matches the Rfam family "Bacterial small subunit ribosomal RNA", at positions 28 to 521 of the family's 1533-position model. The record is from RNAcentral.
GACGAACGCUGGCGGCGCGCCUAACACAUGCAAGUCGAACGAGCGAGAGAGAGCUUGCUUUCUCAAGCGAGUGGCGAACGGGUGAGUAACGCGUGAGGAACCUGCCUCAAAGAGGGGGACAACAGUUGGAAACGACUGCUAAUACCGCAUAAGCCCACGACCCGGCAUCGACCAGAGGGAAAGGAGCAAUCCGCUUUGAGAUGGCCUCGCGUCCGAUUAGCUAGUUGGUGAGGUAACGGCCCACCAAGGCGACGAUCGGUAGCCGGACUGAGAGGUUGAACGGCCACAUUGGGACUGAGACACGGCCCAGACUCCUACGGGAGGCAGCAGUGGGGAAUAUUGCACAAUGGGGGGAAACCCUGAUGCAGCGACGCCGCGUGGAGGAAGAAGGUCUUCGGAUUGUAAACUCCUGUUGUUGAGGAAGAUAAUGACGGUACUCAACAAGGAAGUGACGGCUAACUACGUGCCAGCAGCCGCGGU